GCAGAUGAGAUCGACAUCUUGACUUUGUCACAAUGGCUCCACAGUUCACCUCAUUGUGUCGUAGGCAGAGCGGUUCAGCCACUUCACCGGACCAACCAUGUGUCACCAGUCCCGAUGCCAGGAGGCGAUGAGAGCAAAACCAAGUCCAUGGUGGAGAGAAACUGCAAAAGCGCUGCGUCAUCUCUAGUGAGAAGUGUGCGCUCGGAAACAAGGUCCUGACUGUGCAGAAGGCUGGAAUAGUUCAGCAGCAAAUCGGAUGACCCCUUUUGUUUCUGCGAAACGGCAACGUCUGUCUCAGAGGGCGGCCCGUUGCAUCGCCGCGUUCUCCGACAAAAGAUGCGAAAAAGUUCAUUAGAAGCUUUUGGGUGUGUGCCAUG
Molecule: non-coding RNA, 377 nt
Organism: Poecilia reticulata (guppy)
Lineage: Eukaryota; Metazoa; Chordata; Actinopteri; Cyprinodontiformes; Poeciliidae
Source: RefSeq, a predicted model, not a curated record